UGCUUUAUUUAGUUGCCUGUGAAGCUCGUGCUGCUCCGAGAGCCCUGCGCAGCAGAAUGGCUAUUUGGCUACAGAAGCACAGGAGAUCUGCAUGCACGUCAAAGCUCACACAGCAAGGCUGAGAGUCUGCCCUUGCAGCAGAGGCUAAAUCCUGCUCACCUCCAGCAGAACCCUGUGGCCUCUCCCUGCUGGAUGCAGCCGGUCUGGCUUCACCGUGUUGGGGCAUCGGGGCCAGAAUGCCUGAUCAGAGCCAUGAAUAAUGAGGAGUAGACCUCAAAGACACCGACCCUGCAGUAGGACUUGAAGAGCUGUCUGCAGUGGGAAAACUGCCAUCAGGGGACAGCCAGCAAGGGAAGGCUGAUGUCUGUUGUGGAAGACUGCACUCAGGCUUUGCUCAUGUCUCAGGUAUUAAGAUCUGAUUGUGGGUACCUCCAAAUGCAGAGCACUUUUUCCACUGAUUUUAGAGACAUG
This 471-nucleotide long non-coding RNA is filed under the name Gallus gallus (chicken). RNAcentral's name for it is "long non-coding RNA NONGGAT005457". Lineage: Eukaryota; Metazoa; Chordata; Aves; Galliformes; Phasianidae. The record is from RNAcentral.